UUUCAUUGGUGAUCUAAUAUGGCGGUCAAUCUAAAGAGAAAAGAUGAGUCAGGAGACAAGAAGUACGUGUUCUAUACCACAAGAAAUUUUAGAUAACCAAGAUCUUAGUUUCAUAGAAGAAUUAAACAUUGUAGAUGAAUUGUAUUUUAAUGAAAAUAAAAAUGUGAUCGAAAACGAAAGCAGUUCUGACGAAAACUUUGAAUCUGAUUCCGACAAUGAUGAAGACGUGGACCUUGUAAAUAUUGAACCAUCAGAUGAGGACACACGGGAGUAUGUUGCCCAGGCCCGUUUUAGAAGUGAUGCAUGUGGAUGUAGGGAGUUCUAUGGUGAACCAUGCAGUACAGUUAUUGACGUGGAAUCGGCAAUCGAAUUCCGAGAACACUGUAAAGAAAUCAGCAAGGAUGAACUUGAUCCGAUUAUAAAAGCGUAACUGUUUUCCCAUCGUCGUUCAGGUAACCCACCACAGUCAGUUCAAACCACCUUGCACUACUUCUGGGAUUAUGCCCAGCAGGUCCAUAUUCCACACCAUGCCCAACAAGUGGGCCCAAUCUACUUCAAAAGCCCUCGUAAAUGCCAUGUUUUUGGUAUCUGCUCAGAAGGAUCAGGAAAACAGACCUUUUAUCUCAUUGAUGAAGCCGCUAAUCCUGGGAAAGGAGCUAACAGUGUUACAAGCAUGGUACAUCAUUACUUUGAUAAGUUUGGGCAUGGUUAAAUAGAUCUCAAAGUUCACUUUGAUAACUGUACAGGACAAAAUAAAAACAAUGUUGUGUUAUGGUAUGGUCUUUGGAAAGUGUU
Long non-coding RNA from Saccostrea echinata, 795 nucleotides. RefSeq lists it as uncharacterized. The record is from RefSeq and is a predicted model, not a curated record. The transcript has 3 exons. NCBI's taxonomy places the organism in Eukaryota, Metazoa, Mollusca, Bivalvia, Ostreida, Ostreidae.